UAAAUCAUGAUGAGACUAGGUAAUUCCUUUUGAGUUUUCUUUUGAUAAAUAGUUUUUGUACAAAACUCAAUAGUUUCUUCUUUGAUGUACUGUUUAACGAUCGAAGCUUCCAGAUGGUGAUGAUUAUUUGUAUACCCUUUAAUGAUCUUCAUCAUAUGCAGGAAAGUAACUGAUUAUGAAAAACAACAUGGAACACAUUAAAGUUAUUACUCGUAUACGCAUCAUCAAC
RNAcentral lists this long non-coding RNA (229 nucleotides) under Lathyrus oleraceus (garden pea). RNAcentral's name for it is "Pisum sativum (pea) long non-coding RNA (PSAT_LNC031831)". The record is from RNAcentral. Lineage: Eukaryota; Viridiplantae; Streptophyta; Magnoliopsida; Fabales; Fabaceae.